Molecule: long non-coding RNA, 813 nt
Organism: Cydia splendana
Lineage: Eukaryota; Metazoa; Arthropoda; Insecta; Lepidoptera; Tortricidae
Exons: 2
Source: RefSeq, a predicted model, not a curated record
AACUGGGCCCGUAGCCAAAUUACAUUCGCUCCUAAUCGAUUCGAUCUCUACGUUCGCGAGCGACUGGUCGAUAAUGUUUAUAAUAACCUAGCCAAGAGGCAAUCUUUUUAGUUUUCGCUCAUUCUAUGCGCCAAGUCGGUAAAAAUUAAUUUUUGUCUGUGGUUCUCGUUCAAAACCGUCAAGAAACAUCAUCUGUCAGCUGUCAAGAGUGUCAAGUGAACAGCGAAUCUAAUUUUGGAGAAAAUAAUUGUUUUAUCGGUAAGCAAAUUAAAUAUGUUGGUAUUUGUUUAACUUAGUUUAUCACAAUUUCGUGAUAAAAUAACUCUAUAUAGUGUAAUAUUUGAAGAGUGCGUUGUUAAUUGCAUAUAAUUUUGACCUAAAGUUUAACAAUUUCAGACAGCCGUCGUCCCCGCAGCCCCAACCAAGGCGGCGACGCAGCCAGAGCGGGCAAGAGCGGCUCCGCGGGCUUUUCUUCCACGCUGAGAAGUCCUCGCCAAGUUGGCACGUACAGUCAGAGCUGCCGCUGCAAUGACGCCUUCAUGGCAGUUACCAGUGCUAAGGACGUGCACUGCUGGCUUACUUGACCAGAAGAGACAAUACUUUAAGUGUUAGUAUUGAUUCAAACCGUGAAGUGAAAUUGUGGACAGGUUUGCCCGAAUCAGUGUAACCUCAGUGAAUUCAUUUACUUCAUAGACUUCAAACAUUUUCGAAAUUAACAAAAGUCAAGCGGACAUUGAAUACAUAGAUAAGAUGCAUUAGAUAAGAUAAAAGCUGCCUGUGAAACCAAAACUAAUAAAUCAUAUUGUUACUUAA